Ipomoea nil (Japanese morning glory) is the source of this 123-nucleotide microRNA precursor. It matches the Rfam family "mir-399 microRNA precursor family". Rfam says of the family: mir-399 was identified in both Arabidopsis thaliana and Oryza sativa computationally and was later experimentally verified. mir-399 is thought to target mRNAs coding for a phosphatase transporter. NCBI's taxonomy places the organism in Eukaryota, Viridiplantae, Streptophyta, Magnoliopsida, Solanales, Convolvulaceae. The record is from Rfam.
AGAAGAAUAACAGUGCAUUUCUCCUUUGGCAGAGAUACUUUGCAUUCAGUAAUAUGGAAAUGAUAUUAAUUGAAUUGCAUAUGUAUAGCUUUUGCCAAAGGAGAAUUGCCCUGCCAUUCCUGC